RNAcentral lists this ribosomal RNA (508 nucleotides) under uncultured bacterium. RNAcentral describes it as "partial 16S ribosomal RNA". It matches the Rfam family "Bacterial small subunit ribosomal RNA", at positions 28 to 523 of the family's 1533-position model. The record is from RNAcentral.
GAUGAACGCUAGCUACAGGCUUAACACAUGCAAGUCGAGGGGAAACGAUAUUGGAAGCUUGCUUCCGAUAGGCGUCGACCGGCGCACGGGUGAGUAACGCGUAUCCAACCUGCCCAUCACUUGGGGAUAACCUUGCGGAAGUAAGACUAAUACCCAAUGACGUCUCUAGAAGACAUCUGAAAGAGAUUAAAGAUUUAUCGGUGAUGGAUGGGGAUGCGUCUGAUUAGCUUGUUGGCGGGGUAACGGCCCACCAAGGCGACGAUCAGUAGGGGUUCUGAGAGGAAGGUCCCCCACAUUGGAACUGAGACACGGUCCAAACGCCUACGGGAGGCAGCAGUGAGGAAUAUUGGGCAAUGGGCGAGAGCCUGAACCAGCCAAGUAGCGUGCAGGAUGAUGGCCCUAUGGGUUGUAAACUGCUUUUAUAAGGGAAUAAAGUGAGAGUCGUGACUCUUUUUGCAUGUACCUUAUGAAUAAGGACCGGCUAAUUCCGUGCCAGCAGCCGCAGUAA